CGUUGCUGACCGUUAAGGCGGCGUUGCUCUUCAUCAUGGAGUUCUUGCAGUGAGCAAUGGCGCCUUGGAUGGCGCUCUGGAGCUCCGCCAUCGACGAACCUCCCACAUUGUACGACCCGGAUCCGCCCCGACCCAGCCCCGACCCGCUCUCGCCGCGCCGCGGCGACGACGUCAUCGACGACGGGCAGCUCGAGAUGCUGCUUCUCCUCCUAGGGUAUCUCAAGUUCCCGGAGAAGGAUUGCGAGAUUUCGCUCGAUCGCCGCCGCGGCGGCGGCAAUGGCGGCGAUGGCGGCGGCGGCAUUGUCUGUUGUUGUUGUUGUUGUUGUUUGUGGGAGAGCUUUUCGUAGAGGGGUUUGACCUUAUUGAAGUAUUUGCGGAGGACUCCUCUGGCGGUGGAGCUGGCGCGCUUGACGGCGGCGGCCUUGGAGGAGAAUUUGGCGAGGGAGAAGUAUUUGGAGGGUUUCCGGGAGAGGAGGUCGGCGGGGGGGCGUUUGAUGAGAUCGUCGUCGGCGGCGGAGCUGGGGCGGGAGGAGUCGGAGUCGAGGAGGAGGUCGGAGGAGGCGGUGGAGUCGCGGGAGGCGGUGGCGGAGGAGGAGGAGGAGGAGGGGGAGAAGAGGAGGGAUUGGACCAUGGAGAGGCGGGGGGAGAGGUGGAGGGGGAGGAUCUGGCCCUUGUAGAAGAGCUCGUCGGCGGGGCGGGAGGAUUUGUGGGGGGAGAGGGAGAUGGUGAACUCGAAGUCGGAGGAGGACGACGACGACGACGACGUGGGGGAGGAGGGGAGGGUGUGGGACUUGCUACGGUGGCGCCGCCCCAUGUUGGUGGUGGUGGUGGGCUUGCUUGCCUACUUAUAUAUUUAUCUCAUAAUUUGAAUAGUUGUGAGGGAUGUAGUAUUAGGGUCUCAUCGUUUAAUUCACAUGCUAAUAU
RNAcentral lists this long non-coding RNA (924 nucleotides) under Salvia miltiorrhiza (redroot sage). Its description in RNAcentral is "long non-coding RNA (SMIL_LNC010853)". The record is from RNAcentral. Lineage: Eukaryota; Viridiplantae; Streptophyta; Magnoliopsida; Lamiales; Lamiaceae.